CGGCAAAAGCUCAAAUUUGAAAUCUGGCGCCUUCGGUGUCCGAGUUGUAAUUUGAAGAUUGUAACCUUGGGGUUGGCUCUUGUCUAUGUUUCUUGGAACAGGACGUCACAGAGGGUGAGAAUCCCGUGCGAUGAGAUGCCCAAUUCUAUGUAAGGUGCUUUCGAAGAGUCGAGUUGUUUGGGAAUGCAGCUCUAAGUGGGUGGUAAAUUCCAUCUAAAGCUAAAUAUUGGCGAGAGACCGAUAGCGAACAAGUACAGUGAUGGAAAGAUGAAAAGAACUUUGAAAAGAGAGUGAAAAAGUACGUGAAAUUGUUGAAAGGGAAGGGUUUGAGAUCAGACUCGAUAUUUUGUGAGCCUUGCCUUCGUGGCGGGGUGACCCGCAGCUUAUCGGGCCAGCAUCGGUUUGGGCGGUAGGAUAAUGGCGUAGGAAUGUGACUUUACUUCGGUGAAGUGUUAUAGCCUGCGUUGAUGCUGCCUGCCUAGACCGAGGACUGCGAUUUUAUCAAGGAUGCUGGCAUAAUGAUCCCAAAC
RNAcentral lists this ribosomal RNA (530 nucleotides) under Meyerozyma sp. RNAcentral describes it as "eukaryotic LSU rRNA". It matches the Rfam family "Eukaryotic large subunit ribosomal RNA", at positions 99 to 645 of the family's 3401-position model. Lineage: Eukaryota; Fungi; Ascomycota; Pichiomycetes; Serinales; Debaryomycetaceae. The record is from RNAcentral.